Molecule: ribosomal RNA, 301 nt
Filed under: uncultured bacterium
Lineage: Bacteria
Description: partial 16S ribosomal RNA
Rfam family: Bacterial small subunit ribosomal RNA
Source: RNAcentral
CAGCAGCCACGGUAAUACGUAGGUGGCAAGCGUUGUCCGGAAUUAUUGGGUGUAAAGGGCUCGCAGGCGGUUUCUUAAGUCUGAUGUGAAAGCCCCCGGCUCAACCGGGGAGGGUCAUUGGAAACUGGGAAACUUGAGUGCAGAGGAGGAGAGUGGAAUUCCACGUGUAGCGGUGAAAUGCGUAGAGAUGUGGAGGAACACCAGUGGCGAAGGCGACUCUCUGGUCUGUAACUGACGCUGAGGAGCGAAAGCGUGGGGAGCGAACAGGAUUAGAGACCCGAGUAGUCCCUGUCUCUUAUAC